RNAcentral lists this long non-coding RNA (2664 nucleotides) under Homo sapiens (human). RNAcentral describes it as "HSALNT0116457". Lineage: Eukaryota; Metazoa; Chordata; Mammalia; Primates; Hominidae. The record is from RNAcentral.
AAACCAUAAUCACAAAAAUCUCCAAAGUCCUUCGCAAACAAACAUUGUUUAUUCAUUUUCUAGUUACAGAACAAAAAUAUUAAUGCUACUUUAAAACACAGAUUUUGAUUUUUUUUCUCAAAGCAAAGCCUAUUUUGCAGAUACCCCAUCAUAAAUCACUGCUAUUUGUAAUAGUCACAUCCAUCAUUUGACCUUUCUACUGUAUAUAACAUGACAACAAAAAUCAUGCUCCAAAGAGAUAAUAUUCUUAUUAAAUUCUGUGUCCUAUUACAGUAUUUGGUUUUUAAAAUCAGUGAACUCUCACUUCAACAUUUUACUAAUAACAAGUGGCUAAUGCUUGAAAACAACAGAAAUGACCUUUUUCGGCCCCAUGUUAAUCCCUGUGUAAAGGACAAACAAGUGUUUUAGCAUAAACCAAUCCCAGAAUGUAACCAUGAUCUAAAAUAUACUAACAAUUAAACAAUAAUUCAGAGGCUUUGAUUUUAAGUACUCUGUGUAACAGAUUAAAAGAACGCCAUCCACGUAUUCCAGGAGAAAAACCAAUUAAGCCAACCAUAUAAUGAGCAAUGAUGCUCUCUCACAUCUGCCAGCAAAAACAAUCAACUUAGUCUAUCAUAGACUGGUAUGUUUCUACUCAGUAUUCUAUAUGGGUGACUUAAAUCAACAAACCAAGUGCACAGAACCAACACUUGGUUAUAUGGCUGUGAAGUAACAGCUUUAAGAACCAAAGAAAUGAAACACGUAACAUUCAGUCAUACCCUUAAUACCUUUGUUCCUCAGGCUCCCCAGGACCUGAAGGAAAUAAAUGGAUUUCCAACAACUCCAAUGAGGCAAAUAAGAGCAAACUAAAAUUAGCAUUCAUUUAUUCAUACUCUCAACAAAUAUUGAGUGCCUUCUGUAUUCUCAGCACAAUUUUGAAAUAAUGCACAAAUGUGCAAUGUUAUAACUAGAUUUUCAUAUUAACUUUUCCACUUGGUGUAUGAUUUUCCUUCCGUUCAUAAAUCUAAGCCUAGUUUUCUGGGCCAAAUAACAAAAACCUAAGAGAUUUCAUGAGAAGUGUGCAUGUGUGUGUGUGUGUGUGUGUGUGUAAAACAUACAGCCCAAAACUUAAUAGGUAUAUAAGUAUAUUCUUGGUUUCUUCAUUUGGGAAACUGUCAAUCAUGGUAAAGAUAUAUGAGCAUUUUGGCUAUAAUCUUACAAACUUUAUGUUAGCACUUUCUCAUCAACUGAUGUAUUAUAUCAAAUAGUAUUUCACUGCAUUAAUGCUUUAUGUAUCUAUUUCACAUUUUUACAUGAUAAAAAUACAACUUAAAAAAAUUUAUUCAUUAUUCAUGAUUAUAUCUUUAAGUAUAUGUAUAUUAAAUAUUUAUCAUUUUCCUAUUUUUCUAUAAUCCUAUUUAAGGGUCUGGCACAUGUUUAAUUUCACUCAUUUGAACAUUUAUUAAUGUAUAUAUUUAUUAAAAUAUUUAUAUUUAUAGUUUAUUCCUACUGAUUAUUUAUAGUUUAUUCUUAAUUUAUUCUUAUUAUUCUUCUUGAUUAAGAUGUUACAUUUAUUGAUUAUAUCUAUACAUUUUGUAAAUAGUUAAAUACAAAAAAACACAACAUAUAUGAUCCAUGAAGACACUGCUUCUGCCUACCUUAGUAAUUCUAUACAGCACUUCAAAAGCAACAACUUAAGGUCAAAAUGAAUAAGUUGAUAAUUGUUGUAGGACUUUUUUCAGUGAAUUGUGGAGUAUUCUGAUAGCCAAUAAAAGAGAAGAUGAAAGCAUUAUAUGUGUGUAAUAUUAUGAGUGGCUGCAGUUAUAAUUUUGAUUGAGAAAAAUAUCCAACAACAUUAAAUAGUUUUGAUAGUAUACAAGUCUCCUUUAUAAACGUACUCAUUCUUUUUUCGAACACUUGCGUGAAGUACACUAAAUUUAUAAGAAAAAAUAUUGACUAUGGUUUUACUUUAAGUAUUAUGAUGACUAUUAUUAUAUAUGCUACAUUUCAUUGUCUAUGCUAGGCAGGUGCUUUACAUGCAAUAACUAAUUCAUUAGUAAAAAUGGUGUAUUGAGAACAUACUAGAUUUUGAUGAAGUUCUAAGGUCAAAGGAAUAUUUGGUAGUUUUUAAAUUUUAUAAAUAAUUAAAGCAUUAUUUAAAAUAAUGCUGUGGUAAGCAUCUUUGCUAUAAGCAUUUUUGUACAUAUUAUUUAUAUUUUUCUUAGAAAAUAUAUUUUUAAAAGAAUCAGCAGGGCCAGAUUUAUUUGGUGCAUCACCACACCAUAUAUGCUGCUUUGCCCAGUGCUGCUAAAGCAUGCUCCCACACUAACAUACUAACAAACAAUCUCAUAGUUUUAAGUUGGCACAUUCUCCAUUUUCUCUGUGAUAGAAAAUCUUUUUAUAUUCAUGGCUAGCCUUAUUUCUUUUUCUACAAAUUACCUGUUCAAGUAUUCUUGAGGUCUCAUUGAGUAGUUAAUUUGCAAGCAACCUUUAUAUUCUCAAGUAAAUAAUAUUGUAUAGUUUUUUGUUAUAACACGUUCAAAAGAAAAAGAGAGCAGUAUUUGAAAUUAUCUUGCAUAUAUUUGUGAUGUUAUUUAACUAAAAUCUUAAGAUAUCCUUUAAAUUUCAAAAAUUAAGCACAACCGGCUGGGUGCGGUGGCUCACGCCUGUAAUCCCAGCACUUUG